RNAcentral lists this ribosomal RNA (495 nucleotides) under uncultured bacterium. Its description in RNAcentral is "bacterial SSU rRNA". It matches the Rfam family "Bacterial small subunit ribosomal RNA", at positions 28 to 507 of the family's 1533-position model. The record is from RNAcentral.
GAUGAACGCUAGCUACAGGCUUAACACAUGCAAGUCGAGGGGAAACGACAUCGAAAGCUUGCUUUUGAUGGGCGUCGACCGGCGCACGGGUGAGUAACGCGUAUCCAACCUGCCCACCACUUGGGGAUAACCUUGCGAAAGUAAGACUAAUACCCAAUGAUAUCCCACGAAGGCAUCCGAAUGGGAUUAAAGAUUUAUCGGUGAUGGAUGGGGAUGCGUCUGAUUAGCUUGUUGGCGGGGUAACGGCCCACCAAGGCAACGAUCGGUAGGGGUUCUGAGAGGAGGGUCCCCCCACAUUGGAACUGAGACACGGUCCAAACUCCUACGGGAGGCAGCAGUGAGGAAUAUUGGUCAAUGGACGUAAGUCUGAACCAGCCAAGUAGCGUGCAGGAUUGACGGCCCUAUGGGUUGUAAACUGCUUUUUANGUGGGAAUAAAGUCAGGGACGUGUCCCUGUUUGCAUGUACCACAGGAAUAAGGACUGGCUAAUUCCGUG